UACGGGGGGGGCAAGCGUUGUUCGGAAUUACUGGGCGUAAAGGGCGCGUAGGCGGCCUCCUAAGUCGGACGUGAAAUCCCUCGGCUUAACCGAGGAACUGCGUCCGAGACUGAAAGGCUUGAAUCCGGGAGAGGGAUGUGGAAUUCCAGGUGUAGCGGUGAAAUGCGUAGAUAUCUGGAGGAACACCGGUGGCGAAGGCGGCAUCCUGGACCGGCAUUGACGCUGAGGCGCGAAAGCUAGGGGAGCAAACGGG
This 253-nucleotide ribosomal RNA is filed under the name uncultured bacterium. Its description in RNAcentral is "partial 16S ribosomal RNA". It matches the Rfam family "Bacterial small subunit ribosomal RNA", at positions 524 to 776 of the family's 1533-position model. The record is from RNAcentral.